AUGCAUUCGACGAACCCAAAUCUCCUCCACCACCAUCUCCCUCACCUCCAUACUACUACUAUUCACCACCUUACAAAUACUCCUCACCACCUCCACCACCUUACAAGUACUCAUCGCCUCCUCCACCACCUUACAAAUACUCAUCGCCUCCUCCACCACCUUAUAAGUACUCAUCGCCUCCGCCACCAUACAAAUACUACUCGCCACCUCCACCGCCCUACUAUGACCAUCCGUAUUAUUAUGAUCACUCUCCAUCUCCACCGCCUUAUAAAUACUCCUCACCUCCACCGCCAUAUAAGUACUACUCACCUCCACCACCUUACAAGUACUCAUCGCCUCCUCCGCCAGCAUACAAAUACUCAUGGUAUUCUCCGCCGCCAUACAAAUACUACUCGCCUCCUCCACCUCCCUACUAUUACAAGUCUCCACCUCCACCACCCUACUAUGACCAUCCUUAUUAUUAUGAUCACUCUCCAUCUCCACCGCCUUACAAAUACUCCUCACCUCCUCCACCUUACAAGUACGCCUCCCCUCCACCACCAUACAAAUACUCCUCGCCUCCUCCACCUCCCUACUAUUAACACUUCCGCAUACCCCUCUCCACCACCUUAUAAGUACUCCUCACCUACUCUACCACCAUGCAAAUACUACUCACCUCCUCCACUUUCUUACUAUUAUCACCAUCCACCUCCUCCGCCUUGCAAGGACUCAUCACCUCCUCCGCCUCCCCAUAUUAUCACCACUAUCCUCCGCCACCAGAUUAUUGCAGAUCACCACCUCCACCAUAUUAUUAGAAGUCUCGGCCUCCGGCACCUUUGUGCUCAUUAUCACUCUCAUCAUCCUCCAUCGAUUGAAUAUAUCACCACCUCCACCGUACUACAUCCAACCACCACCAUCAUCAUAAUUAGUCUCCAAUAAUUCCACCAUCUCAAUCCUCUCAUCAAUCGGCUACUGCAAACAGUCCAC
RNAcentral lists this long non-coding RNA (966 nucleotides) under Elaeis guineensis (African oil palm). RNAcentral's name for it is "long non-coding RNA (EGUI_LNC025832)". Lineage: Eukaryota; Viridiplantae; Streptophyta; Magnoliopsida; Arecales; Arecaceae. The record is from RNAcentral.